ACUUAAAUAAUUUAAAUAAAAUAUUGAUUUGUGGUAUCAAAAAUGUGAUUAUAUUCAUUUUAGGUU
Molecule: transfer RNA, 66 nt
Filed under: Precis antilope (darker commodore)
Lineage: Eukaryota; Metazoa; Arthropoda; Insecta; Lepidoptera; Nymphalidae
Also listed under: 6 other names
Description: tRNA-His
Source: RNAcentral